This 290-nucleotide unclassified non-coding RNA is filed under the name Hevea brasiliensis (rubber tree). Lineage: Eukaryota; Viridiplantae; Streptophyta; Magnoliopsida; Malpighiales; Euphorbiaceae. The record is from RNAcentral.
CCUAUCUUGAUGUCUUUUGGGUUAACGACACCCACCACUGUCUCUGUUUCUCCGUUGCCAGCCACCAUUCUUAAAUGGUCUGUGAUAGAUGACAAGAAAGAGUCUGGCCUUCCUAUUAUGUACAUAAUCCCAACCACAGCAACCUUUCCAUCUUGGCUCUCAUGAACCAUAUGCAGCUCUAGAGCAAACUUCCUGCCACUGAUGGUGUGCUCAGAAGGAGAGUGCCAAUGACACUGUUUGAGAACAUAUUCAGUUCCAUUUAUUUCAAGAAUUCCUGCACCACUUUCCCA